UACAGAGGGUGCAAACGUUGUUCGGAAUUACUGGGCGUAAAGCGCGUGUAGGCGGCUUCGCAAGUCGGGUGUGAAAUCCCACGGCUCAACCGUGGAAGUGCAUUCGAAACUGCGAGGCUAGAGUCCUGGAGAGGAAGGUGGAAUGCUUGGUGUAGAGGUGAAAUUCGUAGAUAUCAAGCGGAACACCGGUGGCGAAGGCGGCCUUCUGGACAGUGACUGACGCUGAGACGCGAAAGCGUGGGGAAGCAAACAGGAU
RNAcentral lists this ribosomal RNA (256 nucleotides) under uncultured bacterium. RNAcentral describes it as "partial 16S ribosomal RNA". It matches the Rfam family "Bacterial small subunit ribosomal RNA", at positions 524 to 778 of the family's 1533-position model. The record is from RNAcentral.